CGCGGCCUAUCAGCUUGUUGGUGAGGUAACGGCUCACCAAGGCAUCGACGGGUAGCUGGUCUGAGAGGAUGAUCAGCCACACUGGGACUGAGACACGGCCCAGACUCCUACGGGAGGCAGCAGUGGGGAAUAUUGCACAAUGGGCGCAAGCCUGAUGCAGCAACGCCGCGUGCGGGAUGAAGGCCCUAGGGUUGUAAACCGCUUUCAGCAGGGAAGAAAAUGACGGUACCUGCAGAAGAAGGUGCGGCCAACUACGUGCCAGCAGCCGCGGUGACACGUAGGCACCAAGCGUUGUCCGGAUUUAUUGGGCGUAAAGAGCUCGUAGGCGGUUCAGUUAGUCGGGUGUGAAAACUCUGGGCUCAACCCAGAGACGCCACCCGAUACUGCUGUGACUAGAGUACGGUAGGGGAGUGGGGAAUUCCUGGUGUAGCGGUGAAAUGCGCAGAUAUCAGGAGGAACACCAGUGGCGAAGGCGCCACUCUGGGCCGUAACUGACGCUGAGGAGCGAAAGCAUGGGUAGCAAACAGGAUUAGAUACCCUGGUAGUCCAUGCCGUAAACGUUGGGCACUAGGUGUGGGUCUCAACCAACGAGAUCCGCGCCGUCGCUAACGCAUUAAGUGCCCCGCCUGGGGAGUACGG
RNAcentral lists this ribosomal RNA (639 nucleotides) under uncultured marine bacterium. RNAcentral describes it as "bacterial SSU rRNA". It matches the Rfam family "Bacterial small subunit ribosomal RNA", at positions 232 to 885 of the family's 1533-position model. The record is from RNAcentral.